RNA transcript from Syngnathus typhle (broad-nosed pipefish), 9612 nucleotides. It is a transcript of the gene named eukaryotic elongation factor, selenocysteine-tRNA-specific, with no coding region annotated. NCBI's taxonomy places the organism in Eukaryota, Metazoa, Chordata, Actinopteri, Syngnathiformes, Syngnathidae. The record is from RefSeq and is a predicted model, not a curated record. The transcript is spliced from 9 exons.
GGCAAUCAUUGUUACCGGAAAUCCUUUCCCGAGUGCUUUCAUAUAGUUUAGUUGUUUAACUCGGUUGUCAAAGUGGAAACUCGAAGAAUAUACGGUAUUGGGCAGCUACAAGUCACCUUCCGCUGUGGAACUGAGUCCAUGGUCCGAAGAGAUACAGCCAGAGAAUUUCACGUGACAGCACUACAACAUGGCAGCCAAUAGGAGUACAACUUUGAAUUUCAACAUCGGGGUACUCGGACAUGUGGACAGCGGCAAGACGUCGCUGGCUCGAGCGUUAAGCAGCACCGCGUCCACGGCUGCCUUCGAUAAAAACCCUCAGUCCCGAGAAAGAGGCAUCACCCUAGACCUCGGCUUCUCCUCCUUCACCGUGGACCUUCCCGAGCACCUGCGAGACAGCGAAGACCACCGGGGGCGUUACGACAACCUGCAGUUCACCUUGGUGGACUGUCCGGGACAUGCCUCUCUCAUUCGGACAAUCAUUGGAGGGGCGCAAAUCAUCGACUUGAUGAUGCUGGUGGUGGACGUGGUGAAAGGAGUGCAGACUCAAACAGCAGAGUGUCUGCUCAUCGGAGAGCUGACCUGCCCUCGCAUGGUGGUUGUGCUUAACAAGACUGACCUUCUGCCGGCCAACAAGAGACAGAGCGCGAUUGAGAAAAUGACCAAGAGACUUCACAAAACACUGGAGAACACCAGUUUCAAAGAUUGUCCAGUGAUUGCAGUGGCAGCCAAGCCCGGGGGCCCCGAGGGUGGCGACACAGAGGAACCACAGGGGGUGUCCGAGUUAAUCGAGCUAUUAAAAAAGCAGACUUAUCUCCCACGGAGAGAGCCAGGAGGUGACCUGCUGAUGGCUGCGGACCACUGCUUUUCCAUCCGUGGCCAGGGAACAGUCAUGACCGGCACCAUCCUGCAGGGGUCACUAGCCAUCAACGACACCGUAGAAAUCCCAGCACUGAAGGUGACUAAGAAGGUAAAGUCGAUACAGAUGUUUCGGAAGCCAGUGUCGGGGGCCAUGCAGGGAGACCGCGUGGGUGUGUGCGUGACACAGUUUGACCCAAAGUUGCUGGAGCGGGGGCUGGUGUGCACCCCGAGCUCCCUGCGCACCGUCUUCGCCGCCGUCAUCUCCGCCAAGAAGAUCGGCUACUUCAAGGGUUCCCUCGGCACGCGGGCCAAGUUCCACAUCACGGUGGGGCACGAGACGGUCAUGGCACGGGUGACUUUCUUUGGAUUGCCGCCAGACGCGCCGCAGCCCCGCUCGCCAGAAACGGCCUUCGCCUUCGACAGGGAGUACCUCUACCAAGAAGAAUACGUCACUGGCCAGGGAGAGUCCAACUCGGGACCCGACCCAGAGCAGUGGGCCUUGUUGGAGUUUGAGCGGCCCGUCACGUGCCCCUUACUGUGCCUGGUGAUUGGCUCCAAGCUGGACACGGACAUCCACGCUAAUGCGUGCCGCUUGGCCUUCCAAGGGCGCCUGCUGCACGGCUUUGAAGAUAAAGGCUAUGCUGAGACGGGCCUCCCUCGCCUGCUCAUCUAUAAGACCAAACACAAGGAAGGGCAAGUGGAAAGGGUGGCCGACGACUACACUGUGAUUGGCCGCAGCCUGUUCAAGAAGGAAACAAACCUGCAGAUCUUCGUGGGCCUGAAGGUCACGUUGUCGACGGGCGAAACCGGCGUCAUCGAGGGCGGGUUUGGACAGAGCGGGAAGUUCAAAAUUCGGGUACAAGGGCUGUAGAGGGGAAGCCAUGUGAGAUAUCUCGCCAUCCCUCAUUCCAAUCACCUCUCGCUGCAUGCCCUCUGCUCAGGUUCAUUUGUAUUGACGACUUGUUACUCCUCUGUGGCACACGGGGACGUCUCCGGGCAAAGAGCCAAUGAGACAAGACCAGGACGCUUCGGCACCAAUUCGUGAUGUAGGAAAAGGUAAACGUGGCCGUCAGAUACGGGAGGAAAAUAGAAAGACAAGCAUGAUCUUUGGCAGAUAAUCCCGAACCUUAUUGAAUGUCACAGCACUUCUCCUUCCGUCUUCUCUUUAUAUCCUUCUCUGGUUUCAUGCGACUCAGUGUGUGGUAGCGCUCGCCCAGCUAGAGGCCAAGUGUUCGGUCUGUGUGUGCGUGCAUGUGGGAGUAUGUGUUUGGUCUGUGUGUGCGUGCAUGUGGGAGUAUGUGUGCGUCUGUGCGCACGAGGAUUUGUUCCAGAUUGUGUGCGCUUUAACCCACAUUGUUAAAAACUAAGCUCGACUCAUCCCGGUAGAAGUGAAGCUAUGCGGCAGUGACUUUUCCUGUGAAAGAAUUAUAGGUCUUCCUUUUUUGUGUAAAAGGUUCAUGGAUUGGGUUUUGCGUCAAUGCUAAACAAUUACGAUGCAUAAUUAUUUCAUUCUGUCAAAUUAAAGACUGAAUAAGAUGGAGAGAGGAAAUAAACAAUUGUGAAAUAGGAUGACUGUCUGUCAAGGCCCGUGUCAUAUUAUUGUCACAAACUAAUUGUAAUUUUUUUUAGGAAAGCAAGGUCAAUAAAAAUAAAAAUCCUGGAUUAGCACUUUAAUGCAGAUUUUUUACCAAAACCCCUCGGCCACCCAGUGCACUAGAAUAAUAAUCCAUAUUCUCGUAAAAUGAAUCAUAUUUGCCCUUGUUAAAACCACAGCUAUGAGGCAGCAGAACCACGUAAUAUCUCCUUCCUAAUUACCAGAUUAAUUAUUCAAAAAGUAAUAUUCAGGUAUGGGAAGCAAUAACCACUCAUUUUAUUUAGAACCGGCUCCCAGUAAUUGUAUUUGUAGAACUAGUUAGGUUGCCUGACAAUCCCACCCAUCGACUAAAACCGCUCUAAUUGGCUCGGCUGCAUGGGUGUAAUUCGGCCAAUGCGGUAGAGGAGAAAGCAGGGAGCAAGAGGAGGAGAUAGGGGAAAGAAAGGACCAAUGCUGCGAUCCGGCCAUAGGUAAGAUCGCUUGAAGCGAUCGAGACAGAAGAGCGUGGAGGUGAAGAAAAUUCAAACUCGCUACCGGCGAGUUUGCUCUGAUGCUCACCUUUCUUGGAAGUGCCCCUGAGGGGGCUCCCGCAACUUUAUGUCUGAAUUAGAAAAGGAGUACUGUAAAUAUUUCCAAAUGUUAAAAGCCAAAAUGUCAUAUUGGGUCUUAGAUUGGGAAUUUCACCUCCCCCACCCCCAAGGAUACAUUACAGAUUAGUGCGUGCUAGAUAAAAUGAAGCUAAAUUUAGUUUAUGCAAAACAAGAAACAGUUUCUAACAUACCGAGAUAAUAAAACACUUUGUUAUCUGACGUUUCCAAAAGAAGAAAAGCAGAUAAAGCCACAGAUGUCAAUGAAGCUUUUGCAUGAUUCGCAUCCCGUGCGCACACGUGUCUGACAGGCGUCCACAUGGCAACACUUGGAUAACCUCUAUGAAGCAAAAAUAACUGGACAUUUCAAAGCAGGCAUGGAGGAAUUAUGCAAAAUUAAUUUUGUUUACUAUUUUUUUAAUUGUACAAAUAUUGUGUCUGCAAAUAACAAGUGCGCAAAUAAUUAUUCAACCAGUAAUUGGACUCAUUAUUAUUCAUACUGUAUAAACCAGACUGUGUAAAUUUCUGAACUGAUGCUAGCUCUUUGUUAAUCGAGGACGACUUCAGGAAAGAAUGCAUGACUAAUCCCGUCUCUUACCUAUACGGGUCCCGUCCGUCCUUAUCGCUUUCCUAUACGUUUCCACAUGCGUACUCAGUUUAACAUGCAGCCCUGUGUAAAAUGACCCAUCAUGGACCGGCAGCUUUGUUGGCAUGACAAAGCAUGCGGCGAGCACUCAAAUAACAAAUUACGGUGUUGCAUAAAACUGCCGCCACUGUUUGUGAGAGCUGACAGCGACUUUCUCAGAGUUAGUGCAAUGACUCAAUCAAUUCAUAAAUACAAUCAAUUACAAUUCCCUUUCUAAAGAGGUCUCACCUUGGACAAAGUGUAACGAAAUAAUUUGUUUUGGAUAGGUCCUGUGCUGCCCCUCUGGGCCUGUUUCAUUGUGUCUAAGUGGAUUAGCAUAGACAGACAGUGAUGGAGCCAGAAGGAGAUUAAUGCUAUUAGUACCUGCACACGGAGCAGCACUGAUCAAUUGUCAAUCCAAAUGUAUUUUGGCCAAGACUCACUGGUGAUAAAGACUUUGAAAUGAACAGCACUUUGCCCUCCACGUGAUAAGCAUUUCUCAAAGGGCAGUGCGUUCCCGAUCCGAAGGAGAGACUUCACUUAACUUGUAUGAGUGUUAUUGAUAAUCAAUUUACUGAUGGAAUCUGAUCAGAAAACGGCUUUGCAUCGAGCAUCAUCGAGCUAGAAUAUAGGCUAAAGAGAUUUGUUUCGUUCCCAGCAUAAUUUGGUGAUAUCCGUUUCCUGGAAGAAAUUCCAAUGUAGAGGAGAAAUCCCAUGGACAAAAAAAAGGAGAAUAUGUGAUUUGCAAUCUCUUGUGUGUCCCACCAUCGCGAUAACCUUCGUGUCUGGCCUCCAUUAUCUUCUAAAAGAGGACAUCAUUGGAUUAAGCGCUGGCCCAAACAUCUGAUAUGUAACGGAUACCUGACAUUAUUAAUUACUACUAAGUACAAUUACAGUAGAAGAGAAAAUGGGAAUAACACCAACAGUAAUGGACCUUGAUUUUUUUGGGGCAUAACCAUUUCCGGGAAUAACAGUAGUUUGUGUUUCUCAUAUGUGACGUAAUGUUGUGGUUUGUCUGUGUUUAGCAUUACAUGCAUUUUAAAGCCAGGUUGCCUGUUAGCUUAGAUUCAAUUGCAAAUCAGUGACCUUUUAGCCAAAAAAACGACAUUGCAUGAAAUAAACCAUAAUGAUUUCUUCACUAUUGUUAUGUCUCAAAGGUGUGAUUGCUAUAUUAUGCCAUUAGUCUGAAAGCAGCUGCCGGAGCGUUUGAAAGGAAUCGUCGAUGAAGAUGUUCCUGCGCAAAGCGGAGUCUGGAACACAGUGCAAGUGUUGCCGUUCAUUUGUCACGAGAUGGAUUGCAGUCAUUGCGAGCAAAAGCUUUUCAUUUGACUCCGGUGUGGUAAUUAGGUUUCAAUUGGCUGUGCUCACUAAGAGGAAUGGGUAAUGAAGUUAGCCGACGCACGGGGGCUGCGUGUGUGUGGAGAGGCGCCGGGAGUAGUUUGGGUCAGUACAUUUAACAGUCUGCCUCUUAUACUCUAAUUCAUUGUGUAAUGCUGUUUAUUGUGCGUAUCGCGGGCCUUUUAUGCUCCCGUUAAGUGGGCCCGGCACAUUACUGUAAUGGGGAUGAGGCAUGAAAACAGUGAAACCUGAGCUAGUGCUUCUCCUUGACUUCCUCCUCUCAUGUCUUUAUAAUAUUCCUCUCAUAACGCUGCUUCCGUCCCAUUGGUUGGUCACGUCCCCGACGUCUCCUUGCCGUGAUGUCCAAACUGUGUUGAUGUCAUUAAUGGCAGAGGACAGAACGUAGAAGUGUCAAGUUACCCGGCAAGGAGAGCGCAAGACAGAAUGUGUGGCUCAAGUGAGCUGUUAAAGAAAGCGAUGAUAAUUAAUUGCAUCAAAUGAGUCUUGUGUGCACAUUAUGGACAUGUGGUCAUGUGACUAAAAAGAAUUGUGUGGACACUGUGGGCUGAGCUACUGUAUAUGAUUUGUGUGUGUGCGCGCGUGUGUGCUUGAGGCAGUGGGCACAUUAGCCACAUGACGACCUCGUCGUGACCCCUGAGAAGCGUGUAGGCGCCGGGUUCAGUCUGACUCUUGUCACAUGAUCCCCUGAAGCCCCCCCCCACCCAUCAAAACCUCCAUUAUUCACAAUGGAGUAUUAAUCUGAACAACACACACACACAUGCAUACGCACACAUUUCGGCAAGGAAAUAUGACCAAAUAAAAUAAAAUAGAAACUCAUCUUUGGAAUCUUAGACCUUUCAUAGGAGUUGAGCUCAUGCCUCACGAAUGAUAGAAAGAGUCGCUGACCAUGGAAAUGUCCUCUGACUCAAGUCGAUAGGGUUCAAGUACGUAUGAAAUUUAACCUCGACCAAUCAACAGCAGUGUAAAAAAGGAGAAAAACAGAUUAGUAUUUAUUUGUUGAUCGAAUGUUGCAUAAAAAAAAUCAAGGCGAGGUGUCAAAGCCACAAAUGGUGUCACUCAAUCCACAUUGUUGCUGCAGUGUGUGGCUCAAGGCGAUGGAAGUAUUUUCUGAAAUAACAAUAAAAAGGACAAUGUGAGGGUGAGCACUUGGAUCCUGUGUGUUACACGAAAGAUCAAGUUUAGAGGAGCUCCGAACAUCAUUUCACUCUUGACUAUAAACUGAGUGAGUGUGUCAAAUAUGUCAUAUUGUUAUGUACAGGUGUAUGCUAAUACUGUAAUUGAGUCAAAGUGUUUAUGAAAGUGACAUUGUGUGGAGGCUUCUUGACUUGCAGCAGUUGUGAAUUCCGAACAGUGAUUUGUGUCCAAAGCACAAGUCUCUGCUGAAGAUGACAAAACAUCCUUCUUAUAUCGCCGCCGUAAAGCGCACAAUACAACAGGGUGUUGUUGGUCAGCGCAACAAUGGCACUGAAAUGAAAGAUGUGAAGAAUCUAGUGUGGACAGAUGAAGGGGGAAGGGCUUCCAGUGCAGCAGUAGUAGAAGCUGCAGGUGAGAGGGAUCCGUGUCUGUCUUUUCUUUUAUCGCCACUCUUUCUCCUCUCAGCGCUCACGUCGAUGUCUCCAGUUUCCAUUGGCCCCGUUUCCAUCACUCGACCCCUCGCCCCACCUACGUGUGUGAAAGUUGUUGUUUCAUCUUCACACAAUGCUGCGAAGCAAUACAAGAUGGCUUGAGUUCCUUUUUUGAUCAAAUGUCAUCAAAUGGCAAUCCUGCGUACAAAAUGCUUGAUGUAUAAAAUAUACGUCAGAGAUGUGGAGGGGUUACGAUGCCACGCAGUUUGUAAAUUAUAAACAGUAUAGAAAAAAAAAGCAAUAAAAAGGAGAGGAAAUGAAAAGCAGCUUGAUGGCGGAAGAUGAUAAGUCAUGCAGUUGUCACAAAGGCAGUCAGCUCAAAGUGAGAAGGAGGACGUCACAGCUCGAUUCUUGCCAUCACAUGCAAAUGCGUGUUUGACGUACAGUACUACGAUUGUCCCAGUUCAGUGUAGCAAUAUGGAUUUGCACCAUUAUCUGAAUCUUCUUACUGAUUUACAGCCAACCUUUCACUUAUUAAAACCAACCAUAUAAGUACAGAUGGGAAAAAUUGAUUAACCUCUUAAGAAAGAACUACUGUGCUAUUUUGAUACUGUUCGACAAUUGGAAUAAAUUUGUCUGCUGCUUCAUGUAUCGCUGGAUAUCAUGAAUUUAGGAUCGUGACAGUACAUCUCUUUAACGGCCUAGAUAUGUCGCCGCUCAGAUUUCCUGAGGGCUGAGCCUUGGGCUUUUUGUCAACUGUGUUAUAAGAUAGUGGACAAAGACGCCCAGUCCCAAGGGGCCCACACACACACACACUCGCAGGACUUUGGCCGAGUGAAACACCGUGCACCGCCUCCCUCUCGGCGCGACUCUCCCUCCUCCUGUCAGCGGUGCAAGCGACAGGAGAAAAGAGGUGAUUGUUCGGAAACAAGAGGGAUAAAUUUGUCUGCCUCGGACAGGUGAAGAAAAGCGGUCUGAAAGGGACUUGUCAGUGGAUGUGGUUUGAGAGUGUCCCACUUUCCAGUGGGAAUGCUCUGUGUCAACUUCUUCUGUGACUGUACUUUCAUGAGCAGAGCUUGCUUUCACAGUCACUGUCCAAUUUAAAACUCAAGUUCAAGACUGUUGGCUUUAAAUAAUCAGGAAACACUAUGUAUUGUUCAGAUGAAACCCAGGUGCAGCAAAUACAGUCAAAACAGUAGGCGUCCCAAAAUGGAACCCUGUGGUACACCAUACAACAGCGAUGGCCUUUACUAAACCACUUCAAGUUUGUAAUUAAGCCCAGCGGCUUAUCUGUGAAGAUCAAAGUUCUGUGUAUUCAUUUGUUGUGUGGGACACUUUUCAUAAAGCUUUCUUUCUCUCGCCCUUUCUUGUUGUGUGGUUUUGGUAUUACUGUAUUCAAAUCCUAGCAAAGUCUUAACCUUUGUGUACUGCCACCCAAAUGUCACUGAAACUCGGCCCAGUUUGUGCAGUUGAUGGCGCUUUAGAGUCUGCUGCUGCUGGAUAGGAAACAGUUACUUCAUAGUUGGGAUUGGACCUUAAUUACCCCAGGGGAAGUGAUACGGAUAUUCUAGAAAUCAAGGGUCAUUUCGGCAUAGUAAUUGUUUCGAACCACUCCCUCUUCCUUUUCCGGGGUAUAUUCUCAUUUCUAAUUCUCCAAGAUAAGAUGUUGAGUGUGAAUAAUAGUAUUUGAUCUUUCUGAUGGUUGGACAUUGUUUUGCGAUUCAGGACGCACUGUAUAGUUUGUCUGUUGUGUCCUGACAGUCUCAGAGAAGAAAAAGGUGCCCUUCUUUCAUCCAUUAUCAUUUCAUCAUUUUUCUUCUGCUACUUCACUUCUCUAAAAUCAUUCCUGACUUUGUCACGGAGUUCAAUAAUUGAGUUAGCUAGAAAAACAAAUGGAACGAACAGGGAGGAUGUGUGUACAAAGUUGUACGCUGGAAAUAUGAAGAUUGCUUAUGAGUUGAUUUACAAUGGCCACCCAGUCCCAAAGUUACUCUUUCCGUUCUUUCUAAAAGUGCCUCCUUGUUUUGCUUUGUCGUGUUUUGGGAGAGGGGGGGACGUGACAUUUUAAUUGUGUCUAUGAAUAAUUCCAAGAGCAAUGUGGGAGGGCCCAGAAGAAAGACGGAAUAAGUGCCUUUAGGGUCAAGGGUCGGGGAAAUGUUGAGGGGCGACCAUGCGCUGCACUUGAGUUGAACUGUGUCAUCAUGCAGGCUUCCCGCUUGCAUAUUUGUCUUAUUUGUUUGGGCUUGUAUUUUACUCAUCUUUGACCUCAGUAUGGUGUGAGAGGUUUUUUUUUUUGGUGCUAUUUUUGUUGGGAUGUGACAAUGAAGUUUUAAGUGCCAGAUAGAAGAAGCAGAUACGUUUGAAGUUGAUAUCUUUAUUUCAUGAGUAUAAAGGAUGGCCAGGUCAGAAGAAAGCGCUUUAGCUAAAAAAUAUAGUCAGAACGGGGACAACAUAAUAUAAUCAAGGAACAAAGCAGAGAAAAUAAAUUAUCUGAAUAGCAAUAAUUAUAAUAACAGUAAUUACAAUUAACAAUGUCAAAUUAUAAAUCAUAAAGCAUUUUUUGUUUGUUUGCUUAGUAUUUCGUAAUUUUCUGUGAUGACAAAAAGCAAUUCCAGCAUUUAUUUUUAAUGUAAUGUAACAAAGUUCAUCACGUUCUUCUAUACAAUAUUCACAGUUGCUAUAAACAUAUCCGCACCAACUGAACCACAAUGCUGUCAUGUUGUCAAUCCGUUGAAGUCAGAAGCUUUGACAUAUAUAUAUUUUUUUCUUUUACCGUGCGUGUUUGCGUGUGUGUGUGUUUGUAUCGGGCCGACAGGAAGUAUGUCUGUCUGCCUCCGUUAAGAGUUAGGUACCUCGACGUUGGCCUUAUUUCAUACCGUUUGCAUAAUCAAUCAGAAUCACUCAAAUGUCUGUACAUAGUGUGUCAUCCAACGUGACCCGCCUCAGCCCAUGGCCGUCACCAUGUUGGAGUGGUGCGGGUGGCCAAAGGAAGGGUGUAUCGGUGUGGGAGUGGGCAGCAUGUGU